Diachasmimorpha longicaudata is the source of this 1255-nucleotide long non-coding RNA. RefSeq lists it as uncharacterized. The record is from RefSeq and is a predicted model, not a curated record. The transcript has 3 exons. NCBI's taxonomy places the organism in Eukaryota, Metazoa, Arthropoda, Insecta, Hymenoptera, Braconidae.
AAACACUGGAAAAAAAAUUUUUUAUUUUAUUAUUUUGAACUUUCUUUGAUUGGUAAAUUUAUGAAAUUUUGAAAAAUGCACAGCGCCGUUCCUCCCGGAGAUGACCAAUCUAACUCGGUAUUUCUCUUUGAAGCUCGAGCGGAGAUAAACGAAAUGAGAGCGCAGUAAUGGUAACGGAGUUCCGUAGGUUUCGAAAUGAGCGUUCAUUAUACCGAGGGCGCGUGGGUUUUCUCAAGUCGAUUAAUACAACAAAGAUGAACGUCCUGUCGGUUUGUUGUCAAUUGAUACCUUCUUGCGAUAAAUAUACACAUUGUUAUAAUUGAUUAUCUUAUUGUCCCGGCCAUUUCUAAUGCUCCUAAUAUCGCGUCUUAUCUCCUCGAUCAGGUGCAGUUCAGGAGAACUGUGGUAUUGAGCUUUCUCAAUUCGUGUUUUCGUGGUUUAUGACAACACACACGGUAGAAUUCGAUAUUAUGCUGAUGCUGGUCGUGCAUUAACCUGAUAUGAUUAUUCUUCACUGAGUGGUACACGAUUUGUCGUGUGUCCCAAUGGAAAUUGAGAAUUCUUGGAGAAGAAGGAUGCAAAGAGUUUUCAAGGCUCCGGCAGCCACACCGAGAGAUCUGAGAUGUUAACGUGUGGGCGCUGGAUGUCCAUCCACUCCAAGACCAGUCCCUUCGUAUAUAUUCAUUUCUCACCGCUCUCAAACGCGCGAGAAUAACGACAAGAAAACGGCGAAAUAACAGAUGAAGAGAAACAGAAGUUACACACCUAGUCGCCUGGUGUCUUUGUAAAAUCCAUGGUGAUGGUACUUCUCCGUUGUGUAUUCCGCAACUUUCCAUAUCGAGGUACAUUUGAGCUCUCUGUACACCAUCAUACGAGUUGGAUUUUUUUUUCAAUUCUUUCCACCCGACGGUGGGAUUAAACCAGAAGCGCCUACACACGCAUUCGGUUUCGACUGGUUAGGCAGAAAUGUUUCACCCUGCCCACGCACACUCGUUGCGCUUCGUGCAUAUUAUUUCUCAUUUUUUUGUUAUUAUUCUCAUACAGUUAUGAAUGUUCCAUGCUUUUGAAUUGAAUGGAAUCAUCACUUUGGAAUUAUUUCUUUCGUUCAUUAAUUUUUUUUCACUGAUCGGUCUGAAAAACACGUAACCUGGGACGAAUAAACAAUUAAAUGAUUUGACGAUGGGAAAAAUAUAUUGUAAUUGCAAUAAAGAAUUGGAUGAUUUCAUAAAUAGUUGGGAAUAGUUCUAUUUUUUGU